This 460-nucleotide ribosomal RNA is filed under the name uncultured bacterium. Its description in RNAcentral is "partial 16S ribosomal RNA". It matches the Rfam family "Bacterial small subunit ribosomal RNA", at positions 338 to 795 of the family's 1533-position model. The record is from RNAcentral.
CCUACGUGUGGCAGCAGUGAGGAAUAUUGGUCAAUGGACGAGAGUCUGAACCAGCCAAGUAGCGUGAAGGAUGACUGCCCUAUGGGUUGUAAACUUCUUUUAUAUAGGAAUAAAAUGUUCCACGUGUGUGAUUUUGUAUGUACCAUAUGAAUAAGGAUCGGCUAACUCCGUGCCAGCAGCCGCGGUAAUACGGAGGAUCCGAGCGUUAUCCGGAUUUAUUGGGUUUAAAGGGAGCGUAGGUGGAUUUGUAAGUCAGUUGUGAAAGUUUGCGGCUCAACCGUAAAAUUGCAGUUGAAACUGGCAGUCUUGAGUACAGUAGAGGUGGGCGGAAUUCGGGGUGUAGCGGUGAAAUGCUUAGAUAUCACGAAGAACUCCGAGUGCGAAGGCAGUUCACUGGACUGCAACUGACACUGAGGCUCGAAAGUGUGGGUAUCAAACAGGAUUAGAUACCCGGGUAGUC